RNAcentral lists this unclassified non-coding RNA (240 nucleotides) under Cortinarius sp. RNAcentral's name for it is "partial internal transcribed spacer region". The stretch from base 1 to 46 matches the Rfam family "Eukaryotic small subunit ribosomal RNA", at positions 1786 to 1831 of the family's 1831-position model. The record is from RNAcentral. Lineage: Eukaryota; Fungi; Basidiomycota; Agaricomycetes; Agaricales; Cortinariaceae.
AAGUCGUAACAAGGUUUCCGUAGGUGAACCUGCGGAAGGAUCAUUAUUGAAAUAAACCUGAUGGGUUGUUGCUGGUUCUCUAGGGAGCAUGUGCACGCCUUGUCAUCUUUAUAUCUCCACCUGUGCACCUUUUGUAGACCUUUUCAAGGUCUAUGUUUAUUCAUUUACCCCAAUGUAUGUUAAUAGAAUGUUGUGUUUAUAAAAUCUAUACAACUUUCAGCAACGGAUCUCUUGGCUCUC